RNAcentral lists this ribosomal RNA (490 nucleotides) under uncultured bacterium. RNAcentral describes it as "partial 16S ribosomal RNA". It matches the Rfam family "Bacterial small subunit ribosomal RNA", at positions 28 to 507 of the family's 1533-position model. The record is from RNAcentral.
GAUGAACGCUAGCGAUAGGCUUAACACAUGCAAGUCGAGGGGCAGCAUGGUCUUAGCUUGCUAAGGCUGAUGGCGACCGGCGCACGGGUGCGUAACGCGUAUGCAACUUGCCUCACAGAGGGGGAUAACCCGUCGAAAGACGGACUAAUACCGCGUACACUCUAUGUUGGGCAUCCAAUGUAGAGGAAAUGAACUUCGCUGUGAGAUAGGCAUGCGUCCCAUUAGCUAGUUGGUGAGGUAACGGCUCACCAAGGCGACGAUGGGUAGGGGAACUGAGAGGUUGAACCCCCACACUGGUACUGAGACACGGACCAGACUCCUACGGGAGGCAGCAGUGAGGAAUAUUGGUCAAUGGGCGAGAGCCUGAACCAGCCAAGUCGCGUGAAGGAUGACUGUCUUAUGGAUUGUAAACUUCUUUUAUACGGGAAUAACAAGAGUCACGUGUGGCUCCCUGCAUGUACCGUAUGAAUAAGCAUCGGCUAACUCCGUG